CCAUAUGUUUUAAUACUAUUUCAAUUUGGUCCAUAUUGUUGCGCAGUGUUUGGGAGGUUUGGGUAAUUACUCUUUCGAUCCUCCUCCUGUUGCGUGCAUUUUAAUUUGGUCCCCUUUUUAUUUCCUUCUUUAAAUUUGGCUUCAAAACUUUGUUUAUGUUUGAUUUAAUCCUAUCUAUUGUUUUAGUUUUAUAUUAUUAAUUCUGC
RNAcentral lists this long non-coding RNA (206 nucleotides) under Gossypium raimondii (Peruvian cotton). RNAcentral's name for it is "long non-coding RNA (GRAI_LNC004715)". The record is from RNAcentral. Lineage: Eukaryota; Viridiplantae; Streptophyta; Magnoliopsida; Malvales; Malvaceae.